RNAcentral lists this ribosomal RNA (305 nucleotides) under uncultured bacterium. RNAcentral describes it as "bacterial SSU rRNA". It matches the Rfam family "Bacterial small subunit ribosomal RNA", at positions 333 to 656 of the family's 1533-position model. The record is from RNAcentral.
AGAACCUACGGGACGCAGCAGUGGGGAAUAUUGCACAAUGGGGGGAACCCUGAUGCAGCGACGCCGCGUGAGUGAAGAAGUAUCUCGGUACGUAAAGCUCUCUCAGCAGGGAAGAUAAUGACGGUACCUGAGUAAGAAGCCCCGGCUAACUACGUGCCAGCAGCCGCGGUAAUACGUAGGGGGCAAGCGUUAUCCGGAUUUACUGGGUGUAAAGGGAGCGUAGACGGCAUGGCAAGUCUGAAGUGAAAGCCCGGGGCUCAACCGCGGGACUGCUUUGGAAACUGUUAAGCUGGAGUGCAGGAGAG